AACGAACGCUGGCGGCAGGCUUAACACAUGCAAGUCGCGCGCCCCGCAAGGGGAGCGGCAGGCGGGGGAGGAACGCGUGGGAACGUACCUUUUGGUUCGGCGCCACUCCGGGAAACUGGAGCUAAUACCGGAUAAGCCCUAACGGGGAAAGAUUUAUCGCCGAAAGAUCGGCCCGCGUCUGAUUAGCUAGUUGGUGAGGUAACGGCUCACCAAGGCGACGAUCAGUAGCUGGUCUGAGAGGAUGAUCAGCCACACUGGGACUGAGACACGGCCCAGACUCCUACGGGAGGCAGCAGUGGGGAAUAUUGGACAAUGGGCGCAAGCCUGAUCCAGCCAUGCCGCGUGAGUGAUGAAGGCCUUAGGGUUGUAAAGCUCUUUUGUCCGGGAAGAUAAUGACUGUACCGGAAGAAUAAGCCCCGGCUAACUUCGUG
This 431-nucleotide ribosomal RNA is filed under the name uncultured bacterium. RNAcentral describes it as "partial 16S ribosomal RNA". It matches the Rfam family "Bacterial small subunit ribosomal RNA", at positions 29 to 507 of the family's 1533-position model. The record is from RNAcentral.